RNAcentral lists this long non-coding RNA (1244 nucleotides) under Anser brachyrhynchus (Pink-footed goose). RNAcentral describes it as "lncRNA (ENSABRG00000001692.1)". Lineage: Eukaryota; Metazoa; Chordata; Aves; Anseriformes; Anatidae. The record is from RNAcentral.
GGCUGCCAAUAAUAUGAAAUAUGAAAGACAUGCUCUUUCCCUUUGUCUCUCUGUCUCUCUUGCUUUAGAGAUACAGAAGACUGCAUUGAAGAGAGUCUGCAGUUCUUUCCCUGGUAGCAAAGAGGAGCUGCUCCAGCUGAGAAUUGGUGUACUAGAGGCUACCAGUUUUGCUGAAGUAAUAAUUUGGUCAUAUCAGAGGAUGGAAAAUAGGAUCUUCAAAGCACUAGUCAUAAGGAAUUACUGAGUAAGCCCAUUGUGUGGUUUUUGUUUUUGUUUUUGUCUUUUUCCUGCUAAGAGAUCAAACAUCAUACCUGGAUAUUAUCUCAUAAAUACCACACACACAAUACUUAUGAGACAGGUAAGGGAGGACUGCUAGCACAUGCAAAAAUCAGAGACACUGGAAGUUAGGAAAUGUUACCUGUGAUGACAGAUGCAUUUUUCUAGCAUAAUGAGCUACUGGGAAUGCAGUAGUUUUGCUCUACUAAACAGUUCUUCAAAAGAUUGGUGAUGGUUUUUGUUCUAAAAUCCUGCAGAAGAGAGGGGCCUGGGAAUGGUGUGUUUGAUGGUUUAAUUUUGGAGACUAGGUUCAGAUUUUUGAGCAGCUUUUAUAGCAAGCUAACACUGUAUCGUGUCUACUUGAAAUGCUAAUGUAAAUGUAAAGAUACAGAAACCUUAUUUUCAAAAUUAUUUAAAGCAAGUCUAUUUAGGCAGGUGCACAAAGAGACUGGUUUGUACGAGGUAUGCUCCAAAAUGGCCAACACAAAUCAGUUCUACACAGGAACCAUACAGGUAUGGCUAAGCUAUUACGCCCCACUGUGCUUCCUUGAAUGUCAGGAUCAGCCCAAGUGCUUUAGCCAAGUGCAGUAUCACUGAAGUGUACCUUACCUCCUGCAGAAGUAAUCGCUACUAGGCAUCAAACAGUACGUGGGUAUUAAUUGUACAAAAAGGCGUUCGCAUUCAUAUUAUCAAAACCAUUUUUUCUAACUUGUAUUUUUAGGAAUGCAAUUUGGAAGAUGUGCGUAUGUGAAAUGACUGCAAGAAUCCCACGAAGCUCAACAAGGAGAAGUACAGAGUCCUACGAGUCCUGGUGGACGUGAGGUUGAACACAAGUAAGCAAUGUGCCCACAGUACUCUUGGCUGCACUAGGCAAAGUAUCUGCAGCAGGUGAAGAGAGGAGCUCCUUCCUCUCUACUCAGACCUGGUGAGGCCACACCUGGAGUGCUGUGUCCAGUUCUGGGCUCCCC